This 455-nucleotide ribosomal RNA is filed under the name uncultured bacterium. RNAcentral's name for it is "bacterial SSU rRNA". It matches the Rfam family "Bacterial small subunit ribosomal RNA", at positions 56 to 507 of the family's 1533-position model. The record is from RNAcentral.
UGCAAGUCGAACGGCAGCACGGGAGCAAUCCUGGUGGCGAGUGGCGAACGGGUGAGUAAUAUAUCGGAACGUGCCAGUCGUGGGGGAUAACGUAGCGAAAGCUACGCUAAUACCGCAUACGAUCUACGGAUGAAAGCGGGGAUCGCAAGACCUCGCGCGAUUGGAGCGGCCGAUAUCAGAUUAGGUAGUUGGUAGAGGUAAAGGCUCACCAAGCCGACGAUCUGUAGCUGGUCUGAGAGGACGACCAGCCACACUGGGACUGAGACACGGCCCAGACUCCUACGGGAGGCAGCAGUGGGGAAUUUUGGACAAUGGGCGCAAGCCUGAUCCAGCAAUGCCGCGUGCAGGAUGAAGGCCUUCGGGUUGUAAACUGCUUUUGUACGGAACGAAACGGUGAGCUCUAAUACAGUUUGCUAAUGACGGUACCGUAAGAAUAAGCACCGGCUAACUACGUG